RNAcentral lists this microRNA (21 nucleotides) under Pteropus alecto (black flying fox). RNAcentral describes it as "pal-miR-9997-5p". The record is from miRBase by way of RNAcentral. Lineage: Eukaryota; Metazoa; Chordata; Mammalia; Chiroptera; Pteropodidae.
CAGAAGAGUAGAUUGAUUGGU